This 199-nucleotide signal recognition particle RNA is filed under the name Nitrospirota bacterium. RNAcentral's name for it is "signal recognition particle sRNA large type". It matches the Rfam family "Bacterial large signal recognition particle RNA". From Rfam's summary of the family: The signal recognition particle (SRP) is a universally conserved ribonucleoprotein involved in the co-translational targeting of proteins to membranes. Archaeal SRP consists of a 7S RNA and homologues of the eukaryotic SRP19 and SRP54 proteins. In most bacteria, the SRP consists of a 4.5S RNA and the Ffh protein (a homologue of the eukaryotic SRP54 protein). The record is from RNAcentral. Lineage: Bacteria; Pseudomonadati; Nitrospirota.
CCGGGUGGCCGGUUCUCGCCCGAGGUUGAAAACGGUCGAACGCGGCCAUUUGCCGUGUGGUGUGGCGUGAGGGGUUGGGCCCUGUGCAACCAGAGCCUGUGAACCCCGUCAGAUCCGGAAGGAAGCAGCGGUAAGCGGGAAUCCCGGUGUGCCGCAGGAUCACCCGGCCCCUCACUCCACCCCGCGCGGCGGCUCCCGG